This 29-nucleotide non-coding RNA is filed under the name Rattus norvegicus (Norway rat). The record is from RNAcentral. Lineage: Eukaryota; Metazoa; Chordata; Mammalia; Rodentia; Muridae.
GAGCCAACAAUUCCCAAUGAGGGUGUGGC